This is a long non-coding RNA of Phasianus colchicus (ring-necked pheasant), 1646 nucleotides long. RefSeq lists it as uncharacterized. The record is from RefSeq and is a predicted model, not a curated record. Lineage: Eukaryota; Metazoa; Chordata; Aves; Galliformes; Phasianidae.
GAAGGAAAAGAUGUGGCUGCUGUGCUGGGUGCCGUGUGCCAGGAGAUGGCAAUUGGGAUUGAUAAGAAAUGGUCAAAAAGCGCUUGAGGUUCAUGGCAGGACACGGAAGAUGGACUUCACUACAUUCAGUAGCAAAGAUUUAACAACAAAGUUAAUUAUUUUAUACAAAACAGAGAAAGAAGCUGAACGAGCCCCGCUACAGAAGAACUUGCCCAGGGGCUAAUCUCCUCCAAGCUGGGAAGGGGUCUGCAAAGUCUUCUCCAGCACUUCCAGAUGAGUGACCUGACCCAUGGGCACACUAUAUUGUAAGAAAAGGAUUAACUAUAUAUAUUAAUUAUCAGGAGACUGUCCAGCCUCACACCGCAGAAGGAAGACUCAGUCACUCAACCCUGUGCGCUCAGCUGAUUUGCUCUCAGGAUGAACUUUGCUCACCAUCUUUGCUGCAAACACUGAAGCUCAGACUGAGUGGCAUCAGGCUGAUCCCUGAUACUCUUCCUGUGUACCUUGCUCAAAACUGAGGGUCACCUACAAAUGUGGAACAGCAAUGCCAAGCUCUACUCAUAACACAUCUUCACGUAUACAGAUGAGGCUCUGCUGUCAUAUCUUGAGACAGGCUGAAAUCAUCAAGAAAUGAGGAUUUCUUCCAGCCUGCUACCAGGCCUCUCUGUGGACAUUUUGGAAAUGCCAGACCUCUUCCUUGGGGUUUUUAGAGCCUUUCUAGCAUGAACGGCAGGAUCUGCAGAAAGGUUAGCAUCAAACAGCUGCAGAGCAUGAUCAUCUGUAGGGGAUGCAUAGCCAGAGGUUCGGUGUCACAGAUCCUGUGCAGUUGUCCUAUGGCUAAUGGGAAAGGCUGUAUUCUGAAAAGGUCAUAAAGGCAAUUAAUGAGACAAAGCAGCAGCUCUUCCCGGUGCCAGAGCAGGGCUCAGCCAAAAUAUUUGACUUCAGGUUUAUUUCCUUCAGGUUUAUUAACCAUUAAGUGUUAUUAGGGAUGGGAUCAUAAAUAUAAUGAACUCAACUAUGGGUAUAGUCAGUAGUCCUUUUUUUCCCAUCAGGAGCACAGAUUUUUCCCAUUGGGCCGGGCAGGAGUGUAAAAAGCAACAGCAAGAAACCCCCAGCCUUCCCGUGGCAGCUCAACUCCACUUUGCCUUGCUUUAAGCUGGGGAACUCUGUGUGAUUCCACUUUGCUGUGAGCAAAGCCCAUGCAUGGCACCAGCAGCAGGAUGCUCUGGAGGGAUACUCUGCAAAGAGUUUCUCCUCUGCAGCAAGCCAACUUAAAAGAAUUCCUAAUUCCUCCAGCACUGCCUGCUCACUACAUCACCACAUGCUCCUCAGUUGUCCUGGCACUAAACCAGUGCAGUAACUCAUCCAGGUUAAAAAUAACCAGUGGGGGGUUUCGGGGUGGGGUAGAGGAGCAGUUUUUUUAUCUUGGAUCUGUUCACUGAUCAGCAGUACAGCACAGCAUGCAAGCAGUGGUUCCAGCAUGAGGAGAUGGAGCAGUGUGGGAAGUGGGAACAGACCUGGAAACUCUUAGGUGGGAAGUGAGGCUGAGAAAAUGGGAUGUGGCACUGCAUCAAGUCUGGCAACAAGAACAGUGUAAAUUGAAUGACUUCAAAUGUUUGAAAACAGUUUGUAAUCUAAUUUUGCAA